AUUGAACGCUGGCGGCAUGCCUAACACAUGCAAGUCGAACGGCAGCACAAUAAAGAUUUCGGUCUUUAUGGGUGGCGAGUGGCGGACGGGUGAGUAACGCGUAGGAAUCUGUCCUGGAGAGUGGGAUAACCCGAGGAAACUCGGGCUAAUACUGCAUGACAUUGAGAGAUCAAAAGCAGGGGACCGAAAGGCCUUGCGCUCUGGGGUGAGCCUACGUCGGAUUAGCUAGUUGGUGGGGUAAAGGCCUACCAAGGCGACGAUCCGUAGCUGGUCUGAGAGGAUGACCAGCCACACUGGGACUGAGGCACGGCCCAGACUCCUACGGGAGGCAGCAGUGGGGAAUCUUGGACGAUGGGGGAAACCCUGAUCCAGCGAUGCCGCGUGUGUGAAGAAGGCCUUCGGGUUGUAAAGCACUUUAGGUGGGGAAGAAAGGUAGCGAGUGAAUAACUUUCUGCUGUGACGGUACCCACAGAAUAAGCACCGGCUAACUCUGUGCCAGCCGCCGCCGUAA
Molecule: ribosomal RNA, 511 nt
Filed under: uncultured bacterium
Lineage: Bacteria
Description: partial 16S ribosomal RNA
Rfam family: Bacterial small subunit ribosomal RNA
Source: RNAcentral